ACGCUCGACACCUACGGAGGCAGCAGUUAGGAAUAUUGGGCAAUGGAGGAAACUCUGACCCAGCAACGCCGCGUGAAGGAAGAAGGUUUUCGGAUUGUAAACUUCUGAUCUAGGGGAAGAAGGAAGUGACGGUACCCUAGGAGAAAGCCACGGCUAACUACGUGCAGCAGCCGCGGUAAUCUGAGCGGGCUGGCAAGGC
Molecule: ribosomal RNA, 199 nt
Filed under: uncultured bacterium
Lineage: Bacteria
Description: partial 16S ribosomal RNA
Rfam family: Bacterial small subunit ribosomal RNA
Source: RNAcentral